Molecule: long non-coding RNA, 478 nt
Organism: Apus apus (common swift)
Lineage: Eukaryota; Metazoa; Chordata; Aves; Apodiformes; Apodidae
Exons: 2
Source: RefSeq, a predicted model, not a curated record
CACCCGCGGGCCCGGGGGCUCCGCGCCCCGCACAGGCCGCUCCGGAGCGGAGCCCCCUGCCCGCGCCCCGCGGGACCCCGGCCCUGCUGGCUCCGCAUCGCCGCCGAGACUCAGUCUGAGAGUAAAGGAGCCCACGCACUGCCUGUGGGUGACGGCCUGUGGAGGGCUUUUUUAGCGAGCAGUGGACAUGUGAGCAAUCCAGCCUUUGCUGUAAACACCGGCCCCGCCAAGGCCGUUGCCAUGGAUACCGACUGAAAAAGUCAGCCGCCAAGUAAACAACUUUGGGAUGUGCCAAAGGAGGAAGUGAGGCGGAGAGUCAUGACUGCACAUGUGCUUGCUGGGAACCCAUCACUGUUUAGGUCGUGGCAGGCUUUGUGAGACGGGACCAAUGACACGAGUGGUUUCGGUCGCGUGUGCACAGCCAGGGGCUAUAUAAGAGAGCUUAAAAUAAAUUUAAAAUAAAUUGUCAGCCACCUAA